GCAAUGACUCUCGGCAAUGGAUAUCUUGGCUCUCGCAUCGAUGAAGAACGCAGCGAAAUGCGGUAUGUGUUGUGAAUUGCAGAAUCCCGUGAACCAUCGAGUUUUUGAAUGCAAGUUACGCUUGAGGCCUUUAGGUCGAGGGCACGCCUGCCUGGGCAU
Molecule: ribosomal RNA, 159 nt
Filed under: Hachettea austrocaledonica
Lineage: Eukaryota; Viridiplantae; Streptophyta; Magnoliopsida; Santalales; Mystropetalaceae
Description: 5.8S ribosomal RNA
Rfam family: 5.8S ribosomal RNA
About the family: 5.8S ribosomal RNA (5.8S rRNA) is a component of the large subunit of the eukaryotic ribosome. It is transcribed by RNA polymerase I as part of the 45S precursor that also contains 18S and 28S rRNA.
Source: RNAcentral